UACGUAGGGGGCUAGCGUUGUUCGGAAUCACUGGGCGUAAAGCGCAUGCAGGCGGCUUGUUAAGUCGGGGGUGAAAUCCCGAGGCUCAACCUCGGAACUGCCUUCGAUACUGGCAAUCUUGAGUCCGGGAGAGGUGAGUGGAACUGCGAGUGUAGAGGUGAAAUUCGUAGAUAUUCGCAAGAACACCAGUGGCGAAGGCGGCUCACUGGCCCGGUACUGACGCUGAGGUGCGAAAGCGUGGGGAGCAAACAGG
Molecule: ribosomal RNA, 253 nt
Filed under: uncultured bacterium
Lineage: Bacteria
Description: partial 16S ribosomal RNA
Rfam family: Bacterial small subunit ribosomal RNA
Source: RNAcentral